CGUCCGUUGGGUGUCGUCAAAGCUUGAGCCCCUACUCUUUGUCUGGUGGCACCCGAAAGAAUUUGGCGUACACAGUGUCUUCUCCCAUCCUAUCUCCAUGUAGCCAUAGGUGCUGAAGAAGGUAUACUGAGGAUGUGCUAACCCUGGGUUCAGAUUUGGGCUGCUGCCCCUAACGGGGCACCCUGUCUUCAGUUCUGGCCCUGCUGUAGACUGAGCUCUGGAGUUCCACAAGGAUACUCCUGUGUUGUCUCAGUUGUGGCUCUGAGACAAACAUCCCUGAAACUUAGUGACCUGACUUGAAAUCUAGAAUAGCAACCUAUCCCGUCAAUAAAGGUUUUGUUUUUGUUUUUGUUUUUGAAACAGGGUUUCUUUACAUAGCCCUGACUCACUAUAUAGAUCAUGCCGGCUUCGAACUCAUAGAGCUCAGCCUGUGAUGAUCCCAAGUGCUUGGAUUAAAGGCUGACCGCGAA
This 470-nucleotide long non-coding RNA is filed under the name Rattus norvegicus (Norway rat). RNAcentral's name for it is "long non-coding RNA NONRATT034011". The record is from RNAcentral. Lineage: Eukaryota; Metazoa; Chordata; Mammalia; Rodentia; Muridae.